AGCAGCCGCGGUAAUUCCAGCUCCAAUAGCGUAUAUUAAAGUUGUUGCAGUUAAAAAGCUCGUAGUUGAAUUUCGGGGUUAGUAGAUUGGUCAUGCCUCUGGUAUGUACUGGUCUCACUGAUUCCUCCUUCCUGAUGAACCUUAAUGCCAUUAAUUUGGUGUUUUGGGGAAUUUGGACUGUUACUUUGAAAAAAUUAGAGUGUUUAAAGCAAGCUAACGCUUGAAUACAUUAGCAUGGAAUAAUGAAAUAGGACGUUCGAUCCUAUUUUGUUGGUUUCUAGGAUUGACGUAAUGAUUAAUAGGGAUAGUUGGGGGCAUUAGUAUUCAAUUGUCAGAGGUGAAAUUCUUGGAUUUAUUGAAGACUAACUACUGCGAAAGCAUUUGCCAAGGAUGUUUUCAUUAAUCAAGAACGAAAGUUAGGGGAUCGAAGACGAUCGGAUACCGUCGUAGUCUUAACCAUAAACUAUGCCGACUAGGGAUCGGAUGAUGUUAAUUUUUUAAUGACUCA
Molecule: ribosomal RNA, 508 nt
Filed under: uncultured glomeraceous AM fungus
Lineage: Eukaryota; Fungi; Glomeromycota; Glomeromycetes; Glomerales; Glomeraceae
Description: SSU rRNA
Rfam family: Eukaryotic small subunit ribosomal RNA
Source: RNAcentral